Molecule: ribosomal RNA, 253 nt
Filed under: uncultured bacterium
Lineage: Bacteria
Description: partial 16S ribosomal RNA
Rfam family: Bacterial small subunit ribosomal RNA
Source: RNAcentral
CACGUAGGGCGCAAGCGUUGUCCGGAAUUAUUGGGCGUAAAGAGCUCGUAGGCGGCUUGUCGCGUCGGCUGUGAAAACCUGGGGCUCAACCCCGGGCCUGCAGCCGAUACGGGCAAGCUAGAAUUCGGUAGGGGAGACUGGAAUUCCUGGUGUAGCGGUGAAAUGCGCAGAUAUCAGGAGGAACACCGGUGGCGAAGGCGGGUCUCUGGGCCGAUAUUGACGCUGAGGAGCGAAAGCGUGGGGAGCGAACAGG